GACGAACGCUGGCGGCGUGCUUAACACAUGCAAGUCGAACGGAAAGGCCCUGCUUUUGUGGGGUGCUCGAGCGGCGAACGGGUGAGUAACACGUGAGUAACCUGCCCUUGACUUUGGGAUAACUUCAGGAAACUGGGGCUAAUACCGGAUAGGAGCUCCUGCUGCAUGGUGGGGGUUGGAAAGUUUCGGCGGUUGGGGAUGGACUCGCGGCUUAUCAGCUUGUUGGUGGGGUAGUGGCUUACCAAGGCUUUGACGGGUAGCCGGCCUGAGAGGGUGACCGGCCACAUUGGGACUGAGAUACGGCCCAGACUCCUACGGGAGGCAGCAGUGGGGAAUAUUGCACAAUGGGCGGAAGCCUGAUGCAGCAACGCCGCGUGCGGGAUGAUGGCCUUCGGGUUGUAAACCGCUUUCGCCUGUGACGAAGCGUGAGUGACGGUAAUGGGUAAAGAAGCACCGGCUAACUACGUGCCAGCAGCCGCGGUGAUACGUAGGGUGCGAGCGUUGUCCGGAUUUAUUGGGCGUAAAGGGCUCGUAGGUGGUUGAUCGCGUCGGAAGUGUAAUCUUGGGGCUUAACCCUGAGCGUGCUUUCGAUACGGGUUGACUUGAGGAAGGUAGGGGAGAAUGGAAUUCCUGGUGGAGCGGUGGAAUGCGCAGAUAUCAGGAGGAACACCAGUGGCGAAGGCGGUUCUCUGGGCCUUUCCUGACGCUGAGGAGCGAAAGCGUGGGGAGCGAACAGGCUUAGAUACCCUGGUAGUCCACGCUGUAAACGGUGGGUACUAGGUGUGGGGUCCAUUCCACGGGUUCCGUGCCGUAGCUAACGCUUUAAGUACCCCGCCUGGGGAGUACGGCCGCAAGGCUAAAACUCAAAGGAAUUGACGGGGCCCCGCACAAGCGGCGGAGCAUGCGGAUUAAUUCGAUGCAACGCGUAGAACCUUACCUGGGUUUGACAUGGAUCGGGAGUGCUCAGAGAUGGGUGUGCCUCUUUUGGGGUCGGUUCACAGGUGGUGCAUGGCUGUCGUCAGCUCGUGUCGUGAGAUGUUGGGUUAAGUCCCGCAACGAGCGCAACCCUUGUUCACUGUUGCCAGCACGUUAUGGUGGGGACUCAGUGGAGACCGCCGGGGUCAACUCGGAGGAAGGUGGGGAUGACGUCAAGUCAUCAUGCCCCUUAUGUCCAGGGCUUCACGCAUGCUACAAUGGCUGGUACAGAGAGUGGCGAGCCUGUGAGGGUGAGCGAAUCUCGGAAAGCCGGUCUCAGUUCGGAUUGGGGUCUGCAACUCGACCUCAUGAAGUCGGAGUCGCUAGUAAUCGCAGAUCAGCAACGCUGCGGUGAAUACGUUCCCGGG
RNAcentral lists this ribosomal RNA (1343 nucleotides) under uncultured bacterium. Its description in RNAcentral is "16S ribosomal RNA". It matches the Rfam family "Bacterial small subunit ribosomal RNA", at positions 28 to 1378 of the family's 1533-position model. The record is from RNAcentral.